RNAcentral lists this long non-coding RNA (572 nucleotides) under Vigna radiata. Its description in RNAcentral is "long non-coding RNA (VRAD_LNC009167)". The record is from RNAcentral. Lineage: Eukaryota; Viridiplantae; Streptophyta; Magnoliopsida; Fabales; Fabaceae.
UUCGUUGCAGUUUUUUACACUUCUCUUCUUCUUAAGAGAGGGCAUAUAAAAUCACCAACCUGAAUCAUAGACAACAACAAAGGAAGCGUUAAACCUCACAGUACCACGAAUCCACCAUGAAUCAAGCAGCAGUACAAAUCCACCACCAAUCACCAACACAAACCAUGAAAAGGAGAAGAGAACAAACCUUGACGAAAAUCAAAAAUUGGGAAAAAAAGGAAGAUGGAAAAUUAGAGAAAGAAGAAGAGGGAAAUAAGAGAGGGAGAGAAAAAGUAAGAGCGUGGAGGUGGGGGUGUGGUCUGAGGAUGAGUAAAUAAGAAGGUAAAAAAUUAGGAUUUUGAGACAAAGUUAAAAAAGAUAAAGAGUAAAAGUAGAAAAGGGUAUUUUUUUUAAUAAUUAAAAAAAUUAUAGAAGUGUAAGGCACACUUUUUUUUGACAACUUUUUUUAUAACGGGACACGUGUCAUCAUUUUAUUGGUCUAUUUGAAUUUAUGUUUAAAAAAUAUUUAAAAUAGACUAAUCACAAACUACCACAUAUACAUUGUCAAAAAAUUAUUAAAAAAAAUAUUGUUA